AGGGCAGACAGCGCCCCACGGAGCAUGCUCCGUGGCGGGCUACCCUACUUCGGUAGGGUUUAGAGUCGUUGGGCCUCUCGGAGAAGCCCAGUCCUGAACUCCACCCUUGAAUAUAUUACCUCUGUUGCUUUGGCGAGACGCCUCGUGCCAGCGGCUUCGGCUGUUGAGUGCUCGCCAGAGGACCACAACUCUUGUUUUUAGUGAUGUCUGAGUACUAUAUAAUAGUUAAAACUUUCAACAACGGAUCUCUUGGUUCUGGCAUCGAUGAAGAACGCAGCGAAAUGCGAUAAGUAAUGUGAAUUGCAGAAUUCAGUGAAUCAUCGAAUCUUUGAACGCACAUUGCGCCCUCUGGUAUUCCGGGGGGCAUGCCUGUUCGAGCGUCAUUAUAACCACUCAAGCUCUCGCUUGGUAUUGGGGUUCGCGGUCGCGCGGCCCCUAAAAUCAGUGGCGGUGCCUGUCGGCUCUACGCGUAGUAAUACUCCUCGCGAUUGAGUCCGGCUGGUCUACUUGCCAUCAACCCCAAAUAUUUUACAGGUUGACCUCG
This 544-nucleotide ribosomal RNA is filed under the name Cadophora sp. Samif14. RNAcentral describes it as "eukaryotic LSU rRNA". The stretch from base 230 to 383 matches the Rfam family "5.8S ribosomal RNA". Lineage: Eukaryota; Fungi; Ascomycota; Leotiomycetes; Helotiales; Ploettnerulaceae. The record is from RNAcentral.